RNAcentral lists this ribosomal RNA (497 nucleotides) under uncultured bacterium. RNAcentral describes it as "partial 16S ribosomal RNA". It matches the Rfam family "Bacterial small subunit ribosomal RNA", at positions 28 to 507 of the family's 1533-position model. The record is from RNAcentral.
GAUGAACGCUGGCGGCGUGCCUAAUACAUGCAAGUCGAGCGAACAGAUGAGGAGCUUGCUCCUCUGACGUUAGCGGCGGACGGGUGAGUAACACGUGGGUAACCUACCUAUAAGACUGGGAUAACUUCGGGAAACCGGAGCUAAUACCGGAUAAUAUAUUGAACCGCAUGGUUCAAUAGUGAAAGAUGGUUUUGCUGUCACUUAUAGAUGGACCCGCGCCGCAUUAGCUAGUUGGUAAGGUAACGGCUUACCAAGGCAACGAUGCGUAGCCGACCUGAGAGGGUGAUCGGCCACACUGGAACUGAGACACGGUCCAGACUCCUACGGGAGGCAGCAGUAGGGAAUCUUCCGCAAUGGGCGAAAGCCUGACGGAGCAACGCCGCGUGAGUGAUGAAGGGCUUCGGAUCGUAAAACUCUGUUAUUAGGGAAGAACAAACGUGUAAGUAACUAUGCACGUCUUGACGGUACCUAAUCAGAAAGCCACGGCUAACUACGUG